UUCUUUCCAUUUAGGGUUAUGAUGUUUCAGUCGUUGGGCGAGUGAACUCUGGGUCAUGUAGUUUUGAUCAUGACUAGAGUCACACUCGUCCAACGCUUGAAAUAAUUUC
Molecule: microRNA precursor, 109 nt
Filed under: Polistes canadensis
Lineage: Eukaryota; Metazoa; Arthropoda; Insecta; Hymenoptera; Vespidae
Source: RNAcentral